GGAACUGGCUCCCAGCACUUCACUGGGGGCUGGGAGCCCUGGUGAGUAAGUCCAUGGAGUGUGCGUGGGUUCAACACGCCCCAGUAAUUGCCAGCCUCUGGGCCUUGUCUUGCUCCUAGGGAAGAGGUCUCAGAGUGUCUGGAAACUAGGCCUUUGUUCAUUUUAAACAGAGGCCCUCACUCCCGCCGCUCCUCCCUUGGCCCUUUUGGCAGAACCUUCCACCAGAGUGACAAAGAACAGGGUCUGUGGAAACCAAGGAUAAAAAUCAUAUUUAUGGUUCCGUCUACAUCACGAUUUAUCAUGAAAACCA
RNAcentral lists this long non-coding RNA (310 nucleotides) under Mustela putorius furo (domestic ferret). RNAcentral's name for it is "lncRNA (ENSMPUG00000025797.1)". The record is from RNAcentral. Lineage: Eukaryota; Metazoa; Chordata; Mammalia; Carnivora; Mustelidae.